RNAcentral lists this ribosomal RNA (697 nucleotides) under uncultured bacterium. RNAcentral's name for it is "bacterial SSU rRNA". It matches the Rfam family "Bacterial small subunit ribosomal RNA", at positions 55 to 752 of the family's 1533-position model. The record is from RNAcentral.
CUGCAGUCGACGGUAACGGCCGCAAGGUGCUGACGAGUGGCGAACGGGUGAGUAAUGCAUCGGAACGUGCCCAGUCGUGGGGGAUAACGCAGCGAAAGCUGUGCUAAUACCGCAUACGAUCUAUGGAUGAAAGCGGGGGACCGUAAGGCCUCGCGCGAUUGGAGCGGCCGAUGUCAGAUUAGGUAGUUGGUGGGGUAAAGGCUCACCAAGCCAACGAUCUGUAGCUGGUCUGAGAGGACGACCAGCCACACUGGGACUGAGACACGGCCCAGACUCCUACGGGAGGCAGCAGUGGGGAAUUUUGGACAAUGGGCGCAAGCCUGAUCCAGCAAUGCCGCGUGCAGGAAGAAGGCCUUCGGGUUGUAAACUGCUUUUGUACGGAACGAAACGGUUCGGGUUAAUACCCUGGGCUAAUGACGGUACCGUAAGAAUAAGCACCGGCUAACUACGUGCCAGCAGCCGCGGUAAUACGUAGGGUGCGAGCGUUAAUCGGAAUUACUGGGCGUAAAGCGUGCGCAGGCGGUUUUGUAAGACAGGCGUGAAAUCCCCGGGCUCAACCUGGGAAUUGCGCUUGUGACUGCAAAGCUGGAGUGCGGCAGAGGGGGAUGGAAUUCCGCGUGUAGCAGUGAAAUGCGUAGAUAUGCGGAGGAACACCGAUGGCGAAGGCAAUCCCCUGGGCCUGCACUGACGCUCAUGC